CCGAAAGGCAGGAGUGCCUGCAAGGGAGCGCGGAGACAGGUGGUGCAUGGCUGUCGUCAGCUCGUGUCGUGAGAUGUUGGGUUAAGUCCCGCAACGAGCGUAACCCUCACCUCUUGUUGCCAUCAGGUCAUGCUGGGCACUCUAGAGGAACUGCCCCGGUCAACGGGGAGGAAGGCGGGGAUGACGUCAAGUCAUCAUGCCCCUUACGUCCUGGGCUACACACGUGCUACAAUGGCCGGUACAAAGGGAUGCCACACCGCGAGGUAGAGCUAAACCCAAAAAGCCGGUCUAAGUUCGGAUUGGAGUCUGCAACUCGACUCCAUGAAGGAGGAAUCGCUAGUAAUCGCGUAUCAGCACGACGCGGUGAAUACGUUCCCGGGCCUUGUACACACCGCCCGUCACACCACGAAAGCCAG
RNAcentral lists this ribosomal RNA (416 nucleotides) under uncultured bacterium. RNAcentral's name for it is "bacterial SSU rRNA". It matches the Rfam family "Bacterial small subunit ribosomal RNA", at positions 1001 to 1414 of the family's 1533-position model. The record is from RNAcentral.